RNAcentral lists this long non-coding RNA (1726 nucleotides) under Salmo salar (Atlantic salmon). RNAcentral describes it as "lncRNA (ENSSSAG00000082140.1, ENSSSAG00000097737.1, ENSSSAG00020017084.1, ENSSSAG00075062072.1)". The record is from RNAcentral. Lineage: Eukaryota; Metazoa; Chordata; Actinopteri; Salmoniformes; Salmonidae.
AAGAGACAACAGUCUGGGCUACAUAGCAAUAUCAGAACAGUAGAUAUGAAAUACUUGAGUAGCCUAAAAAGGUCGGGGGACGACUUUUUAGACUAUUAAUGAACCAUGCUUUUCCUGAAACACGACACCCUGCGCCAAUUAAUAAAACAUUGCUGAUGGCUGAUCACCCGAGCCCUUUCGGCUGUAUAGGUGGUGAAAGGUGACAUAAUCGUCUUUGCACAAGAUCUAGAUUGAGAUUGAGAGAUUCAGACAGAGACUGGCAGAGAGCUAGUACAGGCAGCAUGUUAAAACCGCAGCAAAGCGAGCUCCUCUUGCACGAGUCGCGGUUGUAUGGGAAGCCGUGGUUCUGGCAGCGGAAUUCCAGCACCAUGGAGAGCAGCCGGAGCCUCGCGCAGGUGAUCAUGGAGAUGCGCAACGAAAUCAAGAAGCUCGAGACCGAGAACAGUGUGCUAAGGGGGGAAAUCGGUCAGCCGACGAUUGGGACUGAGCAAGGAGAACCGAAUCCGUAUUCACCGGCAGGACAGCCCAGGAUCGGGGCUGACGACAACCCAUCCCACAUGAACCUGAGACGAAAUGCGUCCGCGCCCGCACUCGAGCGGCAAUACAAGGAGAACAUUGUAAUGACUGUCCGGAGAUACUCAAUCGCCUCCAACAUGCCAAGUGUGAUCAGGAAGAGUGAGAGCGAAGAUAGGGUGUCGAAGAAUAGAGAGGUUGCGAAAGGAAGUAACUCAAGUUGGGGUCGAAUUCACGAGGAAGUCAAUGGAAGGGCCCCAUCCGUCUUCGGGAAUUCCACGCGAGACGAGUUCAGCACCACUGCAAAGAAGUUAACCAACAGGUUAUUUCUCCAAGAAUAUGUGCACAAAAACAGGACCAAAGUAAAGACGGUCACAUUUCUUCUGCCCGUGGAUAACAUCUACACCAACCGACCAGUUCUGGCCAACCAUCUGACAGAUUUGGAUGCGAUUGCGGAGACGGAUUCGUAAAGUGAAGAUGGAUGGCGACAGGUGGCGGAACAAUAUUUCAUGUAUAGCCCAUCAAUAUGUGAAGAGCAGGGAGUUAGGGCUACAUAAAUGGGCCUGUCACACAAACAGUAUCUAGGGCAGAGUGUCAGCUACAUCGUUUUUUUAGGUCAGCCAGAAGAUUGAUUUUAUCGCACCUGACCUGAACUCCGGAACUCCACACACGGAGACUCCGGUUACAGGUGUUGUUUCCAUACGGCCGAGGUGAUCCAACGCCCGGUCAUCAGUGAUGAGCUGCCAGCCCUCCCUCUGUUGCAACACCAACAACACUCCCUCCACGGAUCAGAUGUCCAGCCCUGCAGCCCAUCGUGUCAACCUUGAGAACCUUGAGGUGACGAUCGUUUUAGUGACAGUGUGGUCUCUUUUUUUCAGAGCAAUGGGCAUGCAGCCUCUUGGUGAAUUUCAGGGUCAUCACUUGUUUUUGUUAACUAUGUAAUGUAGGGUGGCUUUGAGAAAAAAUCAAUUGGCCUAUCAAUAUUUUGCAUUGGGUCAAGACAGAGAGAACACAAAUUCGUUAGAAUCAGGGUGUUCCUUUUUACAGAUUUUAUUUUAUUCUCUCAAAUGUAAUAUUGUCCCUUCUUUUCCUUGGUAUUCAUGUACAGUAAAUGAAGUAAAUAAAUUCCCAGUGCAAGUUAUUUUAUCUGCUUUGGUUCUGCUGAAAUGAACAGUAGGCCUAUGUCAUACUGUAUAUCAUUUGUAAAUAGUCA